RNAcentral lists this long non-coding RNA (1887 nucleotides) under Homo sapiens (human). RNAcentral describes it as "PREDICTED lncRNA (TCONS_00209810)". The record is from RNAcentral. Lineage: Eukaryota; Metazoa; Chordata; Mammalia; Primates; Hominidae.
CCCGCCUAGCCUGGACCUCGCAGUCUGGUAAGAGUGCUCUCACCAGUGCCCACCAUUUUCCUGUUUCUCAUGCUCCCUCAGCAUGUUUGCUUGGUCCUUUCCAGCAGGUGAUUUUUAACAUGCGAGUGCCUGAAAAUCAGAGACAUGGGCUUCCCUAGCUUCUUUUACAUCAAGCUCCAAAUCUAUAUUCACAACUUUGAUAUCCAGGGUGAUAUUCAAAAUAUUCAGCAAUUAGGGAGGAAUGGGCACUGAGUGAUCAGAACUAGAAUGCAUGUUUUCCGAGGCCUUCUGCUGGGAAGGACGUGGGCUGGAAUGGCAGAUACGAUGUGGAGAGAGCUCGGCGUGUGAACCCUCAGAGCCACAUACACCACAACCGUUGUGACAGCACUGCAGUAUUUUAAACACAGGCAUGACUGAACCACUGGGCACUGGAUGAGUGUCAGCUUCGGGGAAUUUUUUCUCCCGUUACAGAGAAAGACCCUCCUCCAAACACACCUGCGCACACCUCUGUGGAAGGCUCACUCUUGCUCUGGGCUUUUGUUAAGUGCUCCCUCCCUCAUCCUCUGGGCCCAAAAAUCUACCCACCUACCUGUCUGUAUACCACUCAUGAUUUUCCUUGUCCUAAAAGUAAUAUUAACUUCAGCACUGUCUUUUUAUUUUCAGCCUCCUCAGAAGAGUUAGUCAGAUGAGUUGAUCUUUCAAAGGCAAGGUUAAGACUUUACGUUUAAUUUCAACUCACAACAGCGUGGCCUCCGCUCGUCCUUCUCUGAAGAAACAGCUCCAGCAUGGCCACCUGUGCACCCCCAACUAUUAACUCAAGGCUUCCAUUUUCAGAGCAUUCUGUCUGACACGUUGGGAAUGUUUAACCCUGCGAAUCCUCUUCUUUCCUUGGUACUUUCUCUUUUUUGGUUUCUGUGACACACUUUCUCAGACUUCGUUUUCCUCAGAACAUCACUUUCUUGUCUCCUCGUAUGGCAAUCCUUUCUUCAUCUAUCCUUUAAAGGUGGGUGUUCCUGAAAGGUGUGCUCUCAGCCUACCCUGUGUGUCCUUCACUCACUUCUGGGCUUAUGGUGUCCAAGGCUGCAGCUCCGGGCACGCUCCCAGCCCCGACGCCAGCACACACAACAACGUCCCUGCUUCAGGAGCACACUCACGCCCCACCACAGUUCCUUUGCUCCUCUCCCCUCCUUCUCAAAUGUCGAUUAACUUAGCCACUUCACCUGCCUUCCAGCCCCACCACUUUAAUUCAGGCCCUCUUACACCUUCUGAUACUUCAGCUCCUUUCUGCAUUAAUACCUCAUCUCUCCUGCCAUUGUUUUCAUUUCUAAAACUCAUAAUUAUGCACUGUGGGCAAACCUUUCAAACCUUUCCAUUACCCGCACACACACACAAAACCCUUCAAACGUAACAUUCAAAAGACUAGCUUUCAACUUACUUUUCAAACUUCCCUGACCAAUAUUCUAGCUAACCUUCCUUUCUUCCUGUUCCCCACAUACAUACAUCUGUGUGUUAUGUGCCGAAUUGUUCCCUCACAAUUUAUAUGUUGAAACCUUAACGUUUGUUUGGAGAUGGGGUCUUUUAAUAAGGUAAAUAAGGUUAAAUGAGAUCGUAAGUAUGGGGCUCUUGUCUCACAGAACUAGCUUUCUUACGAGAAGAGGCAGAGACCCUAGCAAUGCUCACACAGAAAGGAAAGGCCACCUGGGGACAGAGAAAGAAGGCACCUGUCUACAAGCUGAGAAGAGAGGCCUCAGGAGACACCAGCCCUGCCAGCACCUUGAUUUUGGAUUCCAGCCUUCAGAACGAUCACUGAUUUCAAAGAGUUACAGUGAAAGCAGGUGCUUCACAUGCAUGAGGACGUGCUGCAAAGAUGAUUGGACAGGACAUCAG